Molecule: transfer RNA, 67 nt
Filed under: Cerceris sp. SJW-2017
Lineage: Eukaryota; Metazoa; Arthropoda; Insecta; Hymenoptera; Crabronidae
Description: tRNA-Ser
Rfam family: tRNA
About the family: Transfer RNA (tRNA) molecules are approximately 80 nucleotides in length. Their secondary structure includes four short double-helical elements and three loops (D, anti-codon, and T loops). Further hydrogen bonds mediate the characteristic L-shaped molecular structure. tRNAs have two regions of fundamental functional importance: the anti-codon, which is responsible for specific mRNA codon recognition, and the 3' end, to which the tRNAs corresponding amino acid is attached (by aminoacyl-tRNA synthetases). tRNAs cope with the degeneracy of the genetic code in two manners: having more than one tRNA (with a specific anti-codon) for a particular amino acid; and 'wobble' base-pairing, i.e. permitting non-standard base-pairing at the 3rd anti-codon position.
Source: RNAcentral
AGUUAAUAAGUUUAAUUAAAUUUAUGUUUUGAAAACAUAAGAUAUAAGUAAAAUCUUAUAUUAACUU